RNAcentral lists this ribosomal RNA (301 nucleotides) under uncultured bacterium. RNAcentral describes it as "partial 16S ribosomal RNA". It matches the Rfam family "Bacterial small subunit ribosomal RNA", at positions 509 to 807 of the family's 1533-position model. The record is from RNAcentral.
CAGCAGCCACGGUAAUACGAAGGGGGCUAGCGUUGUUCGGAUUUACUGGGCGUAAAGGGCGCGUAGGCGGACUGAUAAGUCAGGGGUGAAAUCCCAAGGCUCAACCUUGGAACUGCCUUUGAUACUGUUUGUCUUGAGUUCGAGAGAGGUAAGUGGAACUGCGAGUGUAGAGGUGAAAUUCGUAGAUAUUCGCAAGAACACCAGUGGCGAAGGCGGCUUACUGGCUCGAAACUGACGCUGAGGCGCGAAAGCGUGGGGAGCAAACAGGAUUAGAUACCCCAGUAGUCCCUGUCUCUUAUAC